Quercus robur (English oak) is the source of this 1013-nucleotide long non-coding RNA. RefSeq lists it as uncharacterized. The transcript is spliced from 3 exons. Lineage: Eukaryota; Viridiplantae; Streptophyta; Magnoliopsida; Fagales; Fagaceae. The record is from RefSeq and is a predicted model, not a curated record.
AAGGUCGUGAAUUAAGCCUUUCAUAUGAUUAGAUCUUAUUUCUAAUCCUAGGAAGGCUCUAGAAAAAUUCCAUGAGAAAACAAUAAUGAGAAUGUUCAAAUCAACACUCUGCCAUCUAGUCAGAGUGCAGAUCAACAAGAGGGAAGACAUGAGAGAUCUCAUUUGUUCUUAAAUUGAAUAUCAAUGCCACUUUCAAUCUGGUCAAGUAUCUUGGAUUUCCCAUUAUUAACUUCACAUGUGGGUAGUCUUGCGAGUAGGUACAAUUGUACAAUUUCAUAAUAGAGAAAGUGCAACCUAAAUUGGUUGGUGAAAGGCUAGUAGAGUCCUCUCCAUGGUUGGAGGGAGAAAUUAUUGGUUCCUCCAGGAGGACCAUUGAUGUGGUCCUCCGGCUCCUGCCAGCCAAUAGAAAAGUGCCACGUGGCCAUUUUUCUAAUUCAGCUCCACAUCAGCACUUACCCUUUACCUUAACUCUUGUUAACAAAAUCAAACCAAGGUUAAAACUCAGCUCCACACUUACCCACAGCCGGAAACCCAAAAUCAAAGACUUGUUCUACCUCAAGCUCUCACUUCUUCUUCCUUCUUCUUCUGAUAGUCGCUCUCAACUCACUCUUUCUUUUUCUUUUCUUUAUUCUCUUUGUGGAAAUUUUUUUUUGUUGUUGUUUAUUGUGAUUUCUGGGAUUCUGAUCCACCAUUGCCGGAAAACCAUGGGUUCUCCAGUGAGUCCUUCGUGACUCCACUCUCUCCAUGCAUGAUCCAAGUCACCAUCGUUGUCUCCAGAUUUCUCUCCUCUACCAUGGCUUUCUCGGAAGUAGUAUUGGCAUAUCAGAGGAGGAGGACUGUAUUUUGAUUUUGAUUUUGGGUUUCCAGUUGAGGUAAGGUAAUGGGUAAGUGCUGAUGUGGAGUUGAAUCAGGAAAAAUGGCCACGUGGCACUUUCUUAUUGGUUGGUAGGAGCUAGGAGGACCACUGAUGUGGUCCUCCCAAAGGAACCAAUAAUUUCUCGGUUGGAGGAGCC